GUGGUUCUGUAUGGAAGGGCCAUCGCUCAACGGAUAAAAGGUACUCUGGGGAUAACAGGCUGAUACCGCCCAAGAGUUCAUAUCGACGGCGGUGUUUGGCACCUCGAUGUCGGCUCAUCUCAUCCUGGGGCUGAAGCAGGUCCCAAGGGUAUGGCUGUUCGCCAUUUAAAGAGGUACGCGAGCUGGGUUUAGAACGUCGUGAGACAGUUCGGUCCCUAUCUACCGUGGGCGUUGGAAAUUUGAGAGGAUCUGCUCCUAGUACGAGAGGACCAGAGUGGACGAACCUCUGGUGUUCCGGUUGUUUCGCCAGAAGCAUCGCCGGGUAGCUACGUUCGGAUGGGAUAACCGCUGAAAGCAUCUAAGCGGGAAGCCCACCUCAAGAUGAGAUUUCCCUAAAGAGCCGUUGUAGACGACGACGUUGAUAGGUUGGGUGUGGAAGUGUAGUGAUACAUGUAGCUAACCAAUACUAAUUGCUCGUUUGGCUUGACCAU
Molecule: ribosomal RNA, 491 nt
Filed under: Moraxella catarrhalis
Lineage: Bacteria; Pseudomonadati; Pseudomonadota; Gammaproteobacteria; Moraxellales; Moraxellaceae
Description: bacterial LSU rRNA
Rfam family: Bacterial large subunit ribosomal RNA
Source: RNAcentral